RNAcentral lists this ribosomal RNA (497 nucleotides) under uncultured bacterium. RNAcentral describes it as "partial 16S ribosomal RNA". It matches the Rfam family "Bacterial small subunit ribosomal RNA", at positions 28 to 507 of the family's 1533-position model. The record is from RNAcentral.
GACGAACGCUGGCGGCGUGCCUAAUACAUGCAAGUAGAACGCUGAAGAGAGGAGCUUGCUCUUCUUGGAUGAGUCGCGAACGGGUGAGUAACGCGUAGGUAACCUGCCUGGUAGCGGGGGAUAACUAUGGGAAACGAGAGCUAAUACCGCAUAAAAUUGAGUAGUGCAUGAUAAUUAAUUGAAAGAUGCAACUGCAUCACUACCAGAUGGACCUGCGUUGUAUUAGCUAGUUGGUGAGGUAACGGCUCACCAAGGCGACGAUACAUAGCCGACCUGAGAGGGUGGUCGGCCACCCUGGGAGUGUGACCCGGCCCAGACUGCUACGGGAGGCAGCAGGAGGGCAUCUUCGGCAAUGGGGGGAACCCUGACCGAGCAACGCCGCGUGCGUGUAGAAGGUUUUCGGAUCGUAAAGCUCUGUUGUCAGGUAAGAACGGGUGUGAGCGUGGAAAGUUCACACUGUGACGGUAUCUUACCAGAAAGGGACGGCUAACUACGUG